This 75-nucleotide transfer RNA is filed under the name Lachnospiraceae bacterium. RNAcentral's name for it is "tRNA-Glu". It matches the Rfam family "tRNA". From Rfam's summary of the family: Transfer RNA (tRNA) molecules are approximately 80 nucleotides in length. Lineage: Bacteria; Bacillati; Bacillota; Clostridia; Lachnospirales; Lachnospiraceae. The record is from RNAcentral. RNAcentral also lists the same sequence under 1 other name.
GGCUCCUUGGUCUAAUAGGUAUAGGACAUCGCCCUUUCAAGGCGGUAAUGGUGGGUUCGAGUCCCCCAGGAGUCA